Molecule: ribosomal RNA, 467 nt
Filed under: uncultured bacterium
Lineage: Bacteria
Description: partial 16S ribosomal RNA
Rfam family: Bacterial small subunit ribosomal RNA
Source: RNAcentral
GACGAACGCUGGCGGCGUGCUUAACACAUGCAAGUCGAACGGAAAGGCCCUGCUUUUUGGGGUUGCUCGGUUGGCGAACGGGUGAUUAACACUUGAGUAACCUGCCCUUGACUUUGGGAUAACUUCAGGAAACUGGGGCUAUUACCGGAUAGGAGCUCCGGCUGCAUGGUGGGGGUGGGAAAGUUUGGGGGGUUGGGGUUGGAUCGCGGGCUUAUCGGCUGGUUGGUGGGGUAGUGGCUUACCAAGGCUUUGCCGGUUAGCCGGCCUGAGAGGUUGACCGGCAACAUGGGGACUGAGAUACGGCCCAGACUCCUACGGGAGGAAGAAGUGGGGAAUAUGGCAAAAGGGGCGGAAGCCGGAUGCAGAAACGCGGCGGGCGGGAGGACGGCCUUCGGGUUGUAAACCGCUUUCGCCGGGGACGAAGCGUGGGGGACGGUAAUGGGUAAAGAAGCACGGGUGACCUACGG